Molecule: unclassified non-coding RNA, 878 nt
Filed under: Hevea brasiliensis (rubber tree)
Lineage: Eukaryota; Viridiplantae; Streptophyta; Magnoliopsida; Malpighiales; Euphorbiaceae
Source: RNAcentral
GUUGCAUACUACAAUAGAUUGAUCAACUACAUGCUCAAAAGAGGGAUUACUCCUUAUGCAAAUCUUUAUCACUAUGAUCUUCCUCUGGCACUUGAGAAUAAGUAUAAAGGACUAUUGAGUCGCCAAGUAGUGAAAGACUUUGCUGAUUAUGCAGAUUUUUGUUUCAAGACCUUUGGGGAUCGAGUAAAGAACUGGAUGACAUUCAAUGAACCUAGAGUUGUGGCUGCACUUGGAUAUGAUAAUGGGUUUUUUGCUCCUGGAAGAUGCUCCAAAGCAUUUGGAAAUUGUACAGCUGGCAAUUCAGCAACUGAGCCUUAUAUUGUUGCUCAUAAUCUCAUUUUAUCUCAUGCAGCUGCAGUUCAAAGAUAUCGUGAAAAGUAUCAAGAAAAGCAGAAGGGGAGGAUAGGAAUUCUCUUAGAUUUUGUUUGGUAUGAACCUCUUACCAGAUCAAAAGCUGACAACUAUGCAGCUCAAAGAGCAAGAGACUUUCAUGUUGGAUGGUUUAUUCAUCCCAUUGUUUAUGGUGAGUAUCCAAGAACGAUGCAAGAUAUUGUGGGUAACAGGCUACCAAAGUUCACUAAAGAAGAGGUUAAAAUAGUGAAGGGCUCAAUUGAUUUUGUGGGUAUCAACCAGUAUACCACUUACUACAUGUAUGAUCCGCAUCAGCCAAAACCAAAGUACUUGGGCUAUCAGCAAGACUGGAAUAGUGGAUUUGCUUAUCAAAAGAAUGGAGUGCCAAUUGGUCCAAGGGCAAAUUCUUAUUGGCUCUACAAUGUACCAUGGGGCAUGUACAAGGCUUUGAUUUACAUAAAAGAGCGCUAUGGAAACCCUACAGUGAUAUUAUCUGAAAAUGGCAUGGAUGAUCCGGGUAACGUCAC